UCGGGUGUAAACCUCUUUCAGCAGGGACGAAGCGUAAGUGACGGUACCUGCAGAAGAAGCGCCGGCCAACUACGUGCAGCAGCCGCGGUAAGACGUAGGGCGCGAGCGUGUCCGGAUUAUUGGGCGUAAAGAGCUCGUAGGCGGCUUGUCGCGUCGACCGUGAAAACCUGGGGCUCAACCCCAGGCCUGCGGUCGAUACGGGCAGGCUAGAGUUCGGUAGGGGAGACUGGAAUUCCUGGUGUAGCGGUGAAAUGCGCAGAUAUCAGGAGGAACACCGGUGGCGAAGGCGGGUCUCUGGGCCGAUACUGACGCUGAGGAGCGAAAGCGUGGGGAGCGAACAGGAUUAGAUACCCUGGUAGUCCACGCUGUAAACGUUGGGCGCUAGGUGUGGGGGGCCUCUCCGGUUCCCUGUGCCGCAGCUAACGCAUUAAGCACCCCGCCUGGGGAGUACGGCCGCAAGGCUAAAACUCAAAGGAAUUGACGGGAGCCCGCACAAGCGGCGGAGCAUGCGGAUUAAUUCGAUGCAACGCGAAGAACCUUACCUGGGUUUGACAUGGCCGCAAAACUGUCAGAGAUGGCAGGUCCUUCGGGGGCGGUCACAGGUGGUGCAUGGCUGUCGUCAGCUCGUGUCGUGAGAUGUUGGGUUAAGUCCCGCAACGAGCGCAACCCUCGUUCGAUGUUGCCAGCGCGUUAUGGCGGGGACUCAUCGAAGACUGCCGGGGUCAACUCGGAGGAAGGUGGGGAUGACGUCAAGUCAUCAUGCCCCUUAUGUCCAGGGCUUCACGCAUGCUACAAUGGCCGGUACAAUGGGCUGCGAUACCGUGAGGUGGAGCGAAUCCCAAAAAGCCGGUCUCAGUUCGGAUCGGGGUCUGCAACUCGACCCCGUGAAGUCGGAGUCGCUAGUAAUCGCAGAUCAGCAACGCUGCGGUGAAUACGUUCCCGGGCCUUGUACACACCGCCCGUCACGUCACGAAAGUCGGCAACACCCGAAGCCGGUGGCCCAACCCUUGUGGAGGGAGCCGUCGAAGGUGGGGCUGGA
RNAcentral lists this ribosomal RNA (1039 nucleotides) under uncultured Actinomycetes bacterium. Its description in RNAcentral is "bacterial SSU rRNA". It matches the Rfam family "Bacterial small subunit ribosomal RNA", at positions 419 to 1472 of the family's 1533-position model. The record is from RNAcentral. Lineage: Bacteria; Bacillati; Actinomycetota; Actinomycetes.